Long non-coding RNA from Equus caballus (horse), 4784 nucleotides. The record is from Ensembl. Lineage: Eukaryota; Metazoa; Chordata; Mammalia; Perissodactyla; Equidae.
AUGAUUUUGUAAACAUAUGUUAAGUGCCUACUAUGUGCUAGGUACCAUGUUAGGUGUUUUAGUGACUCAGCAAAUCCCAAGAUGCAUCAGGCCUGGACCUUAACCAGACGAUUCGCCCUGGUGGGAUGGGGGGGACCUCCUGUCCUUGGCCUCUUCCUUCUGUCUACCAUGCUUCUUAUCUGCUUACGUUUACACAUUACUCUGAAAUGCCUUUCACAUUCGUGUUCUGCUUCCCCAGCUGCCUUCCCUUCCAGCUCCAGGAUUUUGAGAGACCGGAUGGGCACAGACCUAGGCAAUUGAUGCUCUUGGAAGACAAGACACCCUCCCCCGUACCUACUUCCCACCCAGGACCACCCAGAUAGCACUGGUCAGCCUGCCACAGGGCUUGCCUUUGCACCAUUGCGUUGCCAUCCCUUUGCCCCUGGAAACCUUUGGGGGAAUUGCCUUCUGAAGCUGUGGGGGAUGCCUAGCGCCUCCUGUGGCUCCACACGGGAGUGCUUCUCACCAGGUACAGGCAACGCGAUGUUCUCCCUUCACUGCGCCCCAGGGGCUAGGUCCUACCUGCACCUCCUCAUCCAGAAGGGCUGCCCCGGGUGUCCCACCCCAUAAUUCUCCCCCUGUGGUAGCAGAUGCGUUCCCACCCCUGUGUCUCCCCUUUGGCCUGCACCAUUCGCAUGCACACCACGAUUCCACCGCAAACCCCGUGACUCCGCCUGAGGCUGUUCUCUGGCGGCAGGAACCUGCCUUGCUGCCCCAAUGCAGGGCAGCCUGGAGGUGCCUGGGAGUCCCCACCUCCAGGAGCAGCCCUCAGCCGGUGCCCCAGCUUCUGUGUCCUGGAGGGACCAUGCUCUGCACAGUCUCCCGAGGUCCCCAACAGGACUGAGCUCCAGUUGCCCAUAGCAGUAACCUGCCACUCAUGGCAGCACAACCUCUGUUGGCUUCCUCCUCCUCCCUGUCGCUCCCAAGCCACUGUCUGAGGCUCCCAGGAUCGCCUCCCAGUGAACAGGAGUCUUCAGCCUCCGCGUCUGUGGAAGCCAGCCUGAGUCACUGGUCCCAGGAACUCACCACACACGGAUUUCUGCAAGGGCCCUCGUGCACACCACACGUGCUGUGCUUGGAUCGCACCGUGGGUCAGGAUUGCCAGUGCUCAGGGACUAGCCAUUCUUCAGGGCUUGUGUCUGACAAGGACUCCUCCUGGAAGCCCUGUGCACUCCCAAGCGGAUUCCACCGCCUCCGCCUCUGUCCUCGGGUCACACAACGUGUGUCCCCAGAGUAGGGGCUAUCUGUUCUGUUCUGCUCUGCUCUGGGGUCACUUAUAUGUCACUCAGCCUCCUCACCACCCCAACCCCCAGGCCUGGGAGCUGUCUGCACUUAAGACCAGAGACCACCCCCUCAGAAGCCUGGAGCGGCCAGUCAGAUAACACCACUGAGUCCAGGGGCCAGGAGUCCAGCACAGGUAAGAGUGGGGCCUGGGAUGAACUCGAGAGCAAGUCCCACCAGAAUUUCAUUUGAAGGGAAAGAACAAACUGCCUGCUAAACGCGGAACAUCUGUGGGCCGGACGCUGAAUUGAAGGAAGAUCCCUUUCACCUGGGCGGGGGCGGAGGUCUCGCCUUUCUCAUCACAGCCCCAUGGCCCAGGAUGCAGCACUGCCUAGAGAGGGGGUGUUGUAUAAGCUCCUUCAUAACACAGAGGGAGUGGCGGGGCAUGGGUGGGGAGGGAGCCGUGCCGACAGUACCACUGUUCAGGACAGUCCCUCCCGGGUCUGGCUGCCCAGAGAGGGCAUGUUCUCACCUGCUCUCAGGCAACUCCGUCUCCGGGGUCUUCCUCGACCAGCACAGGGAGCGAAGAGCUCCAGCCACCUGGGUUUUUCUCUUCCCUUCGCGAUGGAGGCGCUGGUGACUGGGGCAUUUCUGGGUCCACACCCGACCUGGCUCACGACCUGUAUCUAGGCUGACCAGACUCCCGUGGGCCCUGUACCUGGGCCUGCGGGAGCACGAGAAGGCUCUCCCUGGGACACAGGGAAGUCUGUUCAGCCUCUCUCAUCCACUUUCAGAAUUUCUCGUGUCUGAUGCUACUGGCACAAUUAUCGACUGAAUAUUUUUCCUUAAGUAGGCUUCGUGUUCUCUCCCUCUCCCCAUGUGCUGGAGCCUAACUGAGACUUUCUCCUUGAUGCAAAUGCAAGGACUGAAAGAGCUUUGAAAAGGGAGCGGCUUCUUCCUCUCCCUCUGAUGGUCCAUGUUUUUUAAAGUCCUUUUAUUGCGUAAAUCAUCCCCAUUCAGACCCCAGUUUAGUUCAGGCACCCACAGGGAUUUUCACCACGGCCCCGCCCCCUCAGGGAACCUGCCUGACAUAGGAGGGGUCAGGACCAGGGUGGAGGUCGUAGGAAGCUGGGCUCGAUUUGGGAGAUGGGCUCGGGGGUCCCAACUGAAGCAGGGUUUUCCUCCUUUCCUCACCUUCUGGGAUCUAGUCUGGAGUUGUGGGGGGCCCCGACUUUCAUAGAAGUGCAGCCACAGCGAGCUCAGUGGAGUGCAGGGACAGCACCACACUCCUCAGGGCUGUGGGAGCUGAGGAUGGAGCCCUGCGGCCCUGAGGCCAUGAGUGGACAGAGAGAGGUGGGCAGGGGCCACCACACCAGAGAAGAGUGUCUCUACCUCGCCAGAGUUGCUGGCAGGUGCCAAGCUCCAGCCCAGGUACACGGGACCCCUGACCCUGCUCUGUUGGCAGGCAGGGGAGGGGAGGGUUCGGCACCCUGGGGUGCUUUGCCGGCAAUCUGGAGAGAGAAUGAGUGCACAUGUGUAGGCAGCUCUCUCAUCUCUGGGGGCUCCAGUGACGCCCAUCCUGGGGCUGUCUUGGUCGCUUUGCUCAGUCCAGUAUCAGGGUCUUUUUUCCCCGUUGUAGGGUCUGCAGCCUGCGGGAUGUGGACUCACAGAUGGGCAAUGUGUCCCUAGGUCUGGAUUGACCAGAAAAGCUGCUCCCUGGCCUCGGUGUGGGGAGGAGACACCACUCGUGCUCCUGGAGCCUCCUUCCCAGAGGAGGGCACCAACCCGGGGGCACUGACAGCUCUGAGGGAGCACCACCCCACGCCAAACUCAAUGGAGGGACCAGGCUGCUAUCUGGGGCCACCGUAGAGGGAAUUGCCUGCCUGCCACCUACCUAAGGGAUGGGCUCCCUUCCUCUGCUGGGACCUCCAUGGGCCUAUCGUGCCCACAAUCCAUGAGCCGUGGCCCCCAGGCAUUGCCAGGAAGCAGUCUACGUGAAAGGACGACGUGUCUAAUUUUGCAGCUACGUGGAGGAUUUGUCACACAGAACCAUCCGUUCAAUCUAGACCAUCACUAAAAGCACUCCGGAUAAUAAAUCUUCAUUUUGUAUUAACUGGAGAGGCAGCCGCCUUCUCAGAAUGGCUGUUCCCGCGUAAUCAUGAUAAAUGGAGAAUCCUGGACAGGAGAAGAGUUGCCUCGAGCUAACAUCUGUUGCCAGUCUUCCUCCUUUUUUCUUCUCCACCCCCAAAGCCCCAGUACACAGUUGUGUAGACUUGAAGCCUGAGGACUCGCACCGCAUCUAAGAUAACUGAUGAGAGAGAGGCUGAUUGGCUCACACCCUCCCUCCGCCUCGGCAGUCCCCUCCUCCUCUUCGUCCCUAGAGGCAAAUACAGCCAAAUGUGAAUGCGUGAACGGCUGCUGACUGCCUGGGGUCUCCCUACUGGGAGUGACACAGGAAUCGGGGGCUCAGCAGAACACAGAUGGAAGCGAAAUGAGGGCAACUGAAGACGUUAUGCUAGGGACCAUCCACAAAGGUGUAGGCUGGGUGUAGAGCAGCCACAAGGCAUAGAAGAGGAGCCUGCAUCUGGGAAGGUCACCACAUCAGGAGGAUGGUGUGGACAGGGCUCCUGACAGGAACUGAGACCCAUCCAGGAACAGAGCCAGGCCACGGUGACAAGCAGGGAGAGAGACAAAGGACAGUGCCCAGCCUUUCCCUCCUCCCUCCAGGCUCCUGCAAGGACUUCCCCUUGGAUGGAACCCAGCUAGGAGGCAGGGGCAGGGAGUCUGUUGGUAUUGUCCGUGCAGGAUGACCUCAGCAGGCACAUGGCAAGAAGAAAAGGGUGGACAGUGAGCCUGAGGGGCAGACAGAAGACCUCCAGCACAGGAGUGCGCAGCAAGUGUGUUUGGAAUAAAUGACUCUUUCUGCACGGGUCAUUGGACCAUGCAAAUAUUUAUGCUUAGAGUGAGGUGACAAUGUUGAUGAUGAUGGUGACAAUGAGAACCAUGAUGGUGCUGGCGAUGUGGAUGAUCAUGAUGACAGCAGUGGUAGUGAGGCUGCUGCUGCUGCUGCUGGUGAUGAUGAUGACAAAUAGCUAACGUUUAUUGAAUACUUGACGCGUACUUCCACAUGCUAGGGGCUGAGCUAAACACUUUACAUACUUCACCUCAAUUACUUCUCAUGACCCUAUGAGAUGGGCGUUAUUAUUAUUAUUCCCUUGUUAGAGAUAGGGAGAUGGAGGCUCAGAAAGAGCAAGUGACUCGUGAGUGGCCACACAUCUUGGAUGGGCAGGAGCUGGUGUCCCAGCUUAGGCGUCUGACUCCAGAGCCAAGGUGAUCGCCGUGCACAACACUGCCUCACUUUCAGAUUGCUCGUAUGUGCGCACCAUCUCCAUUACCCUGUUCUGGAAUCUUCAGUGCAUUUCCAUUUCCCAAGAUCUCAAAUCCUGAGUCUGGAUUUCCAGGCCCCCCCAUUUUCUGGUCCCUUUCCAGUCUUACCUUCUGAUAUUUCUACCCACAAAGCACAC